CCUACGGGUGGCUGCAGUGAGGAAUAUUGGUCAAUGGGCGCGAGCCUGAACCAGCCAAGUAGCGUGAAGGAUGACUGCCCUACGGGUUGUAAACUUCUUUUAUCAAGGAAUAAAGUGAGGCACGUGUGCCUUUUUGUAUGUAUUUUAUGAAUAAGCAUCGGCUAACUCCGUGCCAGCAGCCGCGGUAAUACGGAGGAUCCGAGCGUUAUCCGGAUUUAUUGGGUUUAAAGGGAGCGUAGGGGGGUUGUUAAGUCAGUUGUGAAAGGUUGCGGCUCAACCGGAAAAUUGCAAUUGAUACUGGCAGCCUUGAGUACAGGAGAGGUAGGCGGAAUUCGUGGUGUAGCGGUGAAAUGCUUAGAUAUCACGAAGAACUCCGAUUGCGAAGGCAGCAUACUA
Molecule: ribosomal RNA, 396 nt
Filed under: uncultured bacterium
Lineage: Bacteria
Description: partial 16S ribosomal RNA
Rfam family: Bacterial small subunit ribosomal RNA
Source: RNAcentral